GACGAACGCUGGCGGCGUGCUUAACACAUGCAAGUCGAACGGUAAGGCCCUUCGGGGUACACGAGUGGCGAACGGGUGAGUAACACGUGGGUGAUCUGCCCUGCACUUCGGGAUAAGCCUGGGAAACUGGGUCUAAUACCGGAUAGGACCACUGCCUGCAUGGGUGGUGGUGGAAAGCUUUUGCGGUGUGGGAUGGGCCCGCGGCCUAUCAGCGUGUUGGGGGGGUGAUGGCAUACCAAGGCGACGACGGGUAGCCGGCCUGAGAGGGUGACCGGCCACACUGGGACUGAGAUACGGCCCAGACUCCUACGGGAGGCAGCAGUGGGGAAUAUUGCACAAUGGGCGCAAGCCUGAUGCAGCGACGCCGCGUGAGGGAUGACGGCCUUCGGGUUGUAAACCUCUUUCAGCACCGACGAAGCGCAAGUGACGGUAGGUGCAGAAGAAGGACCGGCCAACUACGUGCCAGCCGCCGCCGUAA
RNAcentral lists this ribosomal RNA (478 nucleotides) under uncultured bacterium. RNAcentral describes it as "partial 16S ribosomal RNA". It matches the Rfam family "Bacterial small subunit ribosomal RNA", at positions 28 to 523 of the family's 1533-position model. The record is from RNAcentral.